UACGGAGGAUGCAAGCGUUAUCCGGAAUGAUUGGGCGUAAAGCGUCCGCAGGUGGCAAUGUAAGUCUGCUGUUAAAGAGUCUAGCUCAACUAGAUACAAGCAGUGGAAACUACAUAGCUAGAGUACGUUCGGGGCAGAGGGAAUUCCUGGUGUAGCGGUGAAAUGCGUAGAGAUCAGGAAGAACACCGGUGGCGAAGGCGCUCUGCUAGGCCGUAACUGACACUCAGGGACGAAAGCUAGGGGAGCGAAUGGG
This 253-nucleotide ribosomal RNA is filed under the name uncultured bacterium. RNAcentral describes it as "partial 16S ribosomal RNA". It matches the Rfam family "Bacterial small subunit ribosomal RNA", at positions 524 to 776 of the family's 1533-position model. The record is from RNAcentral.